CCCUUAGAUGUUCUGGGCCGCACGCGCGCUACACUGACGAAUGCAACGAGCUUAUAACCUUGGCCGAAAGGUCUGGGUAAUCUCCAAAUUUCGUCGUGAUGGGGAUAGAUUAUUGCAAUUAUUAAUCUUCAACGAGGAAUGCCUAGUAAGCGCAAGUCAUCAGCUUGCGUUGAUUACGUCCCUGCCCUUUGUACACACCGCCCGUCGCUCCUACCGAUUGAAUGGUCCGGUGAAGCGUUCGGACCGUGGCCUUUGGACGGUUCGCCGUCUGUUGGCUACGGGAAGUUCGUUAAACCUUAUCAUUUAGAGGAAGGAGAAGUCGUANCA
Molecule: ribosomal RNA, 327 nt
Filed under: uncultured eukaryote
Lineage: Eukaryota
Description: partial 18S ribosomal RNA
Rfam family: Eukaryotic small subunit ribosomal RNA
Source: RNAcentral